UCGCGGCCUAUCAGCUUGUUGGUGGGGUAACGGCCUACCAAGGCAACGACGGGUAGCUGGUCUGAGAGGACGAUCAGCCACACUGGGACUGAGACACGGCCCAGACUCCUACGGGAGGCAGCAGUAGGGAAUCUUGCGCAAUGGGGGAAACCCUGACGCAGCGACGCCGCGUGCGGGAUGAAGGCCUUCGGGUCGUAAACCGCUUUCAGCAGGGACGAAAUUGACGGUACCUGCAGAAGAAGGCCCGGCCAACUACGUGCCAGCAGCCGCGGUGAUACGUAGGGGUCUAGCGUUGUCCGGAAUUAUUGGGCGUAAAGAGCUCGUAGGCGGUUCGGCAAGUCGGAUGUGAAAUCUCCACGCUUAACGUGGAGGGGCCAUUCGAAACUGCCGUGACUCGAGUCCGGUAGGGGAGUUCG
RNAcentral lists this ribosomal RNA (416 nucleotides) under uncultured bacterium. RNAcentral describes it as "bacterial SSU rRNA". It matches the Rfam family "Bacterial small subunit ribosomal RNA", at positions 231 to 663 of the family's 1533-position model. The record is from RNAcentral.